GCGACGAGUUGCCAGUCUUCUGGAUGUGUUGUCUUCGCUUUAAGUCUGAUAUUGAAGUUAAGCAUCUUCAACCAUGUAAUUUUCUUAUUUAUUAAUUUUCUCACACCCGAAAAUGCUUUAGAUAACAGAUUUUCAGUGUAAAACCUUCAAGAAUUUCGUGGGUGACCAGAAUAUGAAAUAAUGCUAUAUUUAAUAUUAUACGCGAAAGGCACUUGUCACCGGUAGGUGGAUUAAUCAAGAUUUGAUCACAAAUAUUUUUUUUAUCAUAUCUCCGGAACCAACCGUCCGAUCGGAAUGAAAUUCAAUAGCGUUAGUAGAUAGAUACAAACAAAAUGAAACCGAUUGCACUCAAAUCGGUCCAGCCAUCGGCGAGUUAAGAGAAUGAGUAUUACCACAGAGAACAGACGCUCAACUUCAGCCAGAAACUUGUGUAAACUUUUAUAAAGAUAAGUGUUGUUACGUAGAGCUGGUAGGUGGCUAUAAAUUUGCCACCAAUAACCAAUUUCACGCUAGUGUCGAUCAAUUAGAUCAAUUUUCUGUUGAUAAUUGCCACUAGGAGCUAACUGCACUUAGUGCCUAGUGUAAUUUGGGCAACGCCAGCGACAUCAUAUUGUCAAAAAGGGUUUGUAAGGUGGCGCUUAAAUGCAAUCGAAUACAACAUAUCAAGAAGACUGACAACUCUUCCAUUUUCUCAAACGACCGGUAUGAGACAGGCACAAUCGCGUCAUCUGCCGCUCAAAGGUAAAUGCUCCGAACGAAUUGGAUAGCAAAGGUUCCAUCCUCAGAAGAAAGGUUUGUGUAUUUGCUCAUGUUUCUAUGCGUUACUUCACUCGAGCGCAGCGCUGCUGUGUCUGUCGCUCGGAUUCAGGCAAAGUUACCAGUCUUCUUGAUAUGUUGUCUUCGGUGCAAUUCACAGUGGUCCAGGAAUGCAAUCUAGCAGAACAAAAUUAAUAACUCCAAAACGAGUAAUUUUAGUGACGUUCCCUGAAGAAGGCCAAGUCCAAAGACGUCGGACAAACGUGGUUUGAUCCACCGUUCAUUGAAAAGCAAUGCGCUUUCAUUUUGAAAUCCCCG
Ochlerotatus camptorhynchus is the source of this 1074-nucleotide long non-coding RNA. RefSeq lists it as uncharacterized. The record is from RefSeq and is a predicted model, not a curated record. NCBI's taxonomy places the organism in Eukaryota, Metazoa, Arthropoda, Insecta, Diptera, Culicidae. The transcript is spliced from 2 exons.